RNAcentral lists this ribosomal RNA (1003 nucleotides) under Triticum aestivum (bread wheat). RNAcentral describes it as "partial small subunit ribosomal RNA". Lineage: Eukaryota; Viridiplantae; Streptophyta; Magnoliopsida; Poales; Poaceae. The record is from RNAcentral.
CUUGCUUUGCUAGAACGCACCACCGGCGUCACAGUUUUGCUACCACCGUGUCGCCGUUUUGUUACAACCGGAGUUUCUUUUUGCUACAACCGGCAGCCGGCGAUGCUAGAACUGGCAGCGCGACAAACUAUAAGCGGCAGACAGGGAAUGUUACAACCACAUCCUUUUUUUGCUACAACCACAUCCUGUUUUUGCCACCACCGGCGACUUUUUUGCUACAUGCGUGGCAGACGACGGGCGCCGAUGCUUCAACCUGACAUGGAAAAAAGCUUCAACUCACCAAGGAGAAGUUACAACCGGUGGCAGAAAAAGCUUCAACAGGCAUAGUGGAAAAAGCUUCAACCCCCAUGAAAAAGCUUCACCCGUGGAAAAAUGCUUCAACCGGCGUAACAAAAGCUUCAACCAGAGGCUAAAAAAGCUUCAACCGGGGGACGAGUCUGUGGGCGCAUGAGCGGCGACAGCGACGAGCGGCGACGGAGAGGGAGAGGACGGGGGUGCUGCGACGGCAAGGGAGAGGACGUGGAUGCUUCCUAUUCUCGCCGGAGCACACGCACGAGGUGGCUGGGGCAGGGACACAUCGCGCCGAAUGGAUCUGAAGCGUGGGGAGGGAGGAAGAAGAUGAUAUGACGUGGGGGAGGGGGGAUCGGACGGCUCCUGCCAGCCAGAUCGCACGGCUGCAGGCUGACCGGCCCAAAUUUGGGCCGGUGCGCCGGCGCGUAUCACUGCCCUGGUUCAAAUGCAAUCAGCCAAGAACAUGCAGUCCAGAAUCAGUAUGCCAUAAUAAUUACAAAAAUAAAAACCAACUGAAUAAUUGUUGGUCAUUGACCAUGUACUGAUAGUCAUCGUCUCAUCAUAGGCAUUCAUUUUGAAAUGAGUUUUCAUCAUGCAAAAUGCUCCUUCUUCUGUUUUUGUGUAGAGACAGAAAAGACUUACCAAGGGCAGAUUUAAAAGAACAAAUUACAAACACAUAAUUCAUCCUGCAUCACAAUCACAAAUUCGUGUG